CCUACGGGUGGCUGCAGUGGGGAAUAUUGCACAAUGGGCGCAAGCCUGAUGCAGCCAUGCCGCGUGUGUGAAGAAGGCCUUCGGGUUGUAAAGCACUUUCAGCGGGGAGGAAGGCGGUGAGGUUAAUAACCUCAUCGAUUGACGUUACCCGCAGAAGAAGCACCGGCUAACUCCGUGCCAGCAGCCGCGGUAAUACGGAGGGUGCAAGCGUUAAUCGGAAUUACUGGGCGUAAAGCGCACGCAGGCGGUCGGUCAAGUCGGAUGUGAAAUCCCCGGGCUCAACCUGGAAACUGCAUUCGAAACUGGCAGGGUAGUGUCUUGUAGAGGGGGGUAGAAUUCCAGGUGUAGCGGUGAAAUGCGUAAAGAUCUGGAGGAAUACCGGUGGCGAAGGCGGCCCCCUGGACAAAGACUGACGCUCAGGUGCGAAAGCGUGGGGAGCAAACAGGAUUAGAUACCCGGGUAGUC
This 465-nucleotide ribosomal RNA is filed under the name uncultured Klebsiella sp. Its description in RNAcentral is "bacterial SSU rRNA". It matches the Rfam family "Bacterial small subunit ribosomal RNA", at positions 338 to 795 of the family's 1533-position model. The record is from RNAcentral. Lineage: Bacteria; Pseudomonadati; Pseudomonadota; Gammaproteobacteria; Enterobacterales; Enterobacteriaceae.